UGGGGAAUAUUGCACAAUGGACGGAAGUUUGAUGCAGCGACGCCGCGUGGAGGGUGUAGGCCUUCGGGUUGUGAACUCCUUUUUCUCGUGAAAAAGGCAUGCUUUUGGGUGUGUUGAUGGUAGCGGGGGAAGAAGCGCCGGCUAACUACGUGCCAGCAGCCGCGGUAAUACGUAGGGCGCGAGCGUUGUCCGGAUUUAUUGGGCGUAAAGAGCUCGUAGGUGGUUCGUCGCGUCUGUCGUGAAAGCCAGCAGCUUAACUGUUGGUCUGCGGUGGGUACGGGCGGGCUUGAGUGCGGUAGGGGUGACUGGAAUUCCUGGUGUAGCGGUGGAAUGCGCAGAUAUCAGGAGGAACACCGAUGGCGAAGGCAGGUCACUGGGCCGUUACUGACGCUGAGGAGCGAAAGCGUGGGGAGCGAACAGGAUUAGAUACCCUGGUAGUCCACGCUGUAAACGUUGGGAACUAGGUGUGGGGAUGCUAUCCUGUGUUUCUGCGCCGUAGCUAACGCAUUAAGUUCCCCGCCUGGGGAGUACGGCCGCAAGGCUAAAACUCAAAGGAAUUGACGGGGGCCCGCACAAGCGGCGGAGCAUGCGGAUUAAUUCGAUGCAACGCGAAGAACCUUACCAAGGCUUGACAUACACUGCGACAUGCCAGAGAUGGUGUGGCCUUCGGGGUGGUGUACAGGUGGUGCAUGGUUGUCGUCAGCUCGUGUCGUGAGAUGUUGGGUUAAGUCCCGCAACGAGCGCAACCCUUGCCUCAUGUUGCCAGCACGUUAUGGUGGGGACUCGUGAGGGACUGCCGGGGUUAACUCGGAGGAGGGUGGGGAUGACGUCAAAUCAUCAUGCCCCUUAUGUCUUGGGCUUCACGCAUGCUACAAUGGCCAGUACAGAGGGUUGCGAUACCGUGAGGUGGGGCUAAUCUCUUAAAGCUGGUCUCGGUUCGGAUUGGGGUCUGCAACUCGACCCCAUGAAGUUGGAGUCGCUAGUAAUCGCAGAUCAGCAUUGCUGCGGUGAAUACGUUCUCGGGCCU
Molecule: ribosomal RNA, 1027 nt
Filed under: unidentified
Also listed under: 1 other name
Description: bacterial SSU rRNA
Rfam family: Bacterial small subunit ribosomal RNA
Source: RNAcentral